Molecule: ribosomal RNA, 433 nt
Filed under: uncultured bacterium
Lineage: Bacteria
Description: partial 16S ribosomal RNA
Rfam family: Bacterial small subunit ribosomal RNA
Source: RNAcentral
AGCGAACGCUGGCGGCAGGCCUAACGCAUGCAAGUCGAACGAACUCUUCGGAGUUAGUGGCGGACGGGUGAGUAACACGUGGGAACGUGCCUUUUGGUUCGGAAUAACUCAGGGAAACUUGUGCUAAUACCGAAUGUGCCCUUCGGGGGAAAGAUUUAUCGCCAUUAGAGCGGCCCGCGUCUGAUUAGCUAGUUGGUGAGGUAACGGCUCACCAAGGCGACGAUCAGUAGCUGGUCUGAGAGGAUGACCAGCCACACUGGGACUGAGACACGGCCCAGACUCCUACGGGAGGCAGCAGUGGGGAAUCUUGCGCAAUGGGCGAAAGCCUGACGCAGCCAUGCCGCGUGAAUGAUGAAGGUCUUAGGAUUGUAAAAUUCUUUCACCGGGGACGAUAAUGACGGUACCCGGAGAAGAAGCCCCGGCUAACUUCGUG